UACGGAGGGGGCGAGCGUUGUUCGGAAUCACUGGGCGUAAAGCGUGCGUAGGCGGUUAUACAAGUCAGAAGUGAAAUCCCAGGGCUCAACCUUGGAAUUGCUUUUGAGACUGUAUGACUAGAGAUCUAGAGAGGUUGGGGGAAUUCCGAGUGUAGAGGUGAAAUUCGCAGAUAUUCGGAGGAACACCAGUGGCGUAGGCGCCCAACUGGCUAGAUACUGACGCUGAGGCACGAAAGCGUGGGGAGCAAACAGG
This 253-nucleotide ribosomal RNA is filed under the name uncultured bacterium. Its description in RNAcentral is "partial 16S ribosomal RNA". It matches the Rfam family "Bacterial small subunit ribosomal RNA", at positions 524 to 776 of the family's 1533-position model. The record is from RNAcentral.